Molecule: long non-coding RNA, 842 nt
Organism: Labeo rohita (rohu)
Lineage: Eukaryota; Metazoa; Chordata; Actinopteri; Cypriniformes; Cyprinidae
Exons: 3
Source: RefSeq, a predicted model, not a curated record
GGAAAGGUUCAGCGACUGGGCAGCAUCAUGAACAUUCAAACACACGCUUUGGCUUCAUGACAUGCUGUGGAUGAUGAGAAGAGCAACUCAGCAACUGUUUUUGACAUUUUUCCACCAAAUCCUUUCUUUGCCCUUGACUGGAAGAUUCGGCACAAAGGCCAAACAACAGGAGUGAAAUGCAAUCAGCUUCAUUGAGCGGCUCAUUCGGCCCCAGCCAGACUGGAAUAAUACCGGACCGGAGACCGACACGGAUCUUUCAAAUCACUAUCCUGAGUCUCUCCCUGCAAUAAAGGUUACAAAGAAAAGUAAAGCCAGCUGAGUCACCGGAUCCUGAGGAUUAUUCGGCAGUGCCGUCAUAUUCAGCGAACCUCAGUGAUUCACUUACAUCCCAUCAGCCCAAUCCGUCCUGCGGGUUUCACCCAUUCACUGACGCUGCAGCCCUUCAACCCACAUCACUGCUCAUAAAACAUCACAGCAGGUAAGAAGGGAAACCCUGCAUCAUCUGGACCAGGAAUAGAAGCGUAAAUGGACGGAAAAUGGGUUGUGUUACAUCAGAAGGACAUCACAAGAUGAUGUAAUUCUUUCCCUUUUUUCUCUGAAUGUUUAAAUCCAUGGGAUAUAAGAGCUCCGUAGAGUCCAUGGUUGAUGGAUGAUGCCUGGUUCGUCAACAAUGCUCAUAUGCUCAAGUGUUUAGUAACCUUUUAAUGCAUUUGUAAGAUAUUUAACUUUUUUUAUUCUGUUUUUCUCACAGGAGACUGGUAGCAAUGGAUUUGAGGACUGAUAUAGAUCAAACACAUGGGGCUGAAACAGGAAGUUCUGCCGCCACACUGAGAGAAAACAAA